CCUCUUCGAUCUGCUGCGGGCAGAUAAAGUGAAUGUGCGUGUCGAUGCCGCCGGCGGUGAGGAUCAUGCCUUCGCCGGCAAUCACCUCGGUGCCGGCGCCGAUGGCGAUGGUCACGUCGGGUUGAAUAUCCGGGUUACCGGCCUUGCCGAUGGCGGCUAUUCGUCCGUCCUUGAGGCCGACGUCGGCUUUGACGAUGCCCCAGUGAUCGAUGAUCAGCGCAUUGGUGAUCAGCGUGUCGACCACGUCCGCCGCACACAGCUGGCCCUGGCCCAUGCCGUCGCGG
Molecule: non-coding RNA, 284 nt
Organism: Pseudomonadales bacterium
Lineage: Bacteria; Pseudomonadati; Pseudomonadota; Gammaproteobacteria; Pseudomonadales
Source: Rfam